This 496-nucleotide ribosomal RNA is filed under the name uncultured bacterium. RNAcentral describes it as "partial 16S ribosomal RNA". It matches the Rfam family "Bacterial small subunit ribosomal RNA", at positions 28 to 507 of the family's 1533-position model. The record is from RNAcentral.
GAUGAACGCUGGCGGCGUGCCUAAUACAUGCAAGUCGAGCGAACAGACGAGGAGCUUGCUCCUCUGACGUUAGCGGCGGACGGGUGAGUAACACGUGGAUAACCUACCUAUAAGACUGGGAUAACUUCGGGAAACCGGAGCUAAUACCGGAUAAUAUAUUGAACCGCAUGUUCAAUAGUGAAAGACGGUUUUGCUGUCACCUAUAGAUGGAUCCGCGCCGCAUUAGCUAGUUGGUAAGGUAACGGCUUACCAAGGCAACGAUGCGUAGCCGACCUGAGAGGGUGAUCGGCCACACUGGAACUGAGACACGGUCCAGACUCCUACGGGAGGCAGCAGUAGGGAAUCUUCCGCAAUGGGCGAAAGCCUGACGGAGCAACGCCGCGUGAGUGAUGAAGGUCUUCGGAUCGUAAAACUCUGUUAUUAGGGAAGAACAAAUGUGUAAGUAACUAUGCACGUCUUGACGGUACCUAAUCAGAAAGCCACGGCUAACUACGUG